This 1795-nucleotide long non-coding RNA is filed under the name Anser brachyrhynchus (Pink-footed goose). Its description in RNAcentral is "lncRNA (ENSABRG00000004680.1)". Lineage: Eukaryota; Metazoa; Chordata; Aves; Anseriformes; Anatidae. The record is from RNAcentral.
GUUUUCUACUGUUGCUAUGUGUAGGUUUCAAUGUAAGAAACUUACACUAAUAUGAAGUUAUUUCACUUCAGUGCCCGGCAGGAGCCCAUCCUCUUUUUCUGCUUUUUCAUAUCUAGCAUGCUAAAACUUCUGAGGCUAAUACCAGUAAACACCCAGUGAUCUGGAGUUUCUGAGACUGGGGUGGGAUUCUUAGGUCAAGUAGAUCAUACAUAUAUGAUGAUCUUAAAUAGACAUUUAUGUAGGUUGAAAGGCAUUAGUUUCAGAGCUGAAGAGCUUCAUGGAGAAGUGUGAAGAGGAGGGAUUAUCAAUUUAGGCUUUUGUUCUGUGGUGUGCCUACACUAUAGAAACUAAGCUGAUGUGUGAAAGUAAGUCAGGAAGUUUUGACUAGGGAGCUUGGCUGAUCAGAGCCAAAUGCAAAGAGAGCUAAGUAAAGCGACAAAUGAGCUGGAGAAGUGUGUUGCAACUGGUGUUACUGCUGGAAGAAAAGUGGGACUGGCAACUGGCAUCAAUAACAUCUUAAACUACUGAGAACAGAGCCACCAGCGGUGACUGGUCAAAACCCUGUGACACACGAAGAAUUGCAGUGGAAGCAACUAAAACCCAACAAGUAUAAUGUGGACAACCCUAUUCCAGUUCUGUGUGCCUUUGGGUAAAAAUUUAUAUCAGCUUGAGGUUUUAGCUGUAAUAUUUGGUUUAUCUACCCACUAUUUUAAAGGUGCUAAGGAUUUGAGUCUGAGCACUGAGAAGUUUACGGUGGGUGUUGUACCAAAUGCAGAUCAUCUGUACAUCCCUUACUUAAUGAGCUCCUUGCUGUUCAGAAGCCUCAGGCCUUGGUGGAACCUGCAUCUUUCCUUUUCACCGCUGGGAGAUCACACUUGUUUCAGCUCUCAAAAGUAAAAAUGUUUUUGUUUAACUCCAUUUGUUGGCCUUAGCAUAAACUAUCUGGGUAAAACUUAAUGGGUUGCAAAUGCAGGAAGCUGGAAUGCAUGAUAUAAAGGUCUCAACUGGUCUUAAAACUUGCAGACUGUCUUGCAGUUAUAUGUCUAGUCCCUCUUAGAAAUGUGUUUUUCUUGUGUAUUUAUGUGAUACCUCAAUUAUUUUAUUAAAAGGAAGAAGAAAUUGUAAUACACUGCCUGUGAAGGCUGUGAAAAUAUUGGUAAUAUUAAGAGUUUCAAAGAACUUUUUAAUUCAUUCUUUAGGACACAAACUAAAUCUGUCAGCAACUUAAUAGCCAUCCUGCUUUCACAUUAUGUCAUCCCAUACGGCACAUGAAUUAUAUAUUUGCAUUAUGCAACUCUAACAUAUAAUAUUUAUACAAUCUGUUUCCCCCAUUGGUUACUUAGUUUUAUAGUCCCCUAUUUAAAUUAAAUUUAGCUGUUAAAUACAUGUUACUGAAUUUCUUACUAUCACUUCAUCUGUGGCAUGGAAAAACAAUAAUGGAUCUUUUUUAAAAAACAACAAAUAUAUACAAAAAAAGAAAAACUUAAACAGGAAGCUCACUACCUGUUUAGGAAUCUAAAACACUCCCUGCUCCAAAGCCAAAAUAUUAAUAUUCAUAGCUCUUACAGGUAAGAUUUUUGUCAGUAGGCUGUGUUUGCCCACAUUGAUUAAGCCCCUUCCUCAAUACCAUACAUUUUGAAUUUGUUUAUACUUAUUAAACUCUUUCCCCCGUAUCAUACAUAUAGAGUUUGCCCAUAUUUAUUAAACACUUUCCACAAUACCAUAUAUUUUGAGUAAAAAAGAUUUAAAUGUGACUUUUAAAUAAAAAAUGAAUGCAUGGAUUAAAAUGUAUGCA